RNAcentral lists this ribosomal RNA (253 nucleotides) under uncultured bacterium. RNAcentral's name for it is "partial 16S ribosomal RNA". It matches the Rfam family "Bacterial small subunit ribosomal RNA", at positions 524 to 776 of the family's 1533-position model. The record is from RNAcentral.
UACGUAGGGGGCUAGCGUUGUCCGGAUUUAUUGGGCGUAAAGAGCGUGUAGGCGGCCAGGUAGGUCUGCUGUGAAAACUCGAGGCUCAACCUCGAGACGUCGGCGGAAACCAUCUGGCUAGAGUCCGGAAGAGGAGAGUGGAAUUCAUGGUGUAGCAGUGAAAUGCGUAGAGAUCAUGAGGAAGACCAGUGGCGAAGGCGGGUCUCUGGACAGUUCCUGACACUGAGGCACGAAGGCCAGGGGAGCAAACGGG